RNAcentral lists this ribosomal RNA (402 nucleotides) under uncultured bacterium. RNAcentral's name for it is "bacterial SSU rRNA". It matches the Rfam family "Bacterial small subunit ribosomal RNA", at positions 355 to 774 of the family's 1533-position model. The record is from RNAcentral.
UGGGGAAUAUUGCACAAUGGGGGAAACCCUGAUGCAGCGACGCCGCGUGAACGAUGAAGCCCUUCGGGGUGUAAAGUUCUUUCGACAGGAACGAUAAUGACGGUACCUGGAGAAGAAGCUGCGGCUAACUACGUGCCAGCAGCCGCGGUAAUACGUAGGCAGCGAGCGUUGUUCGGAGUUACUGGGCGUAAAGAGUGCGUAGGCGGCGAGCCAAGUUUGGUGUGAAAUCUCCCGGCUUAACCGGGAGGGUGCGCCGAAAACUGGUUGGCUGGAGUAUGGGAGAGGAAAGCGGAAUUCCUGGUGUAGCGGUGAGAUGCGUAGAUAUCAGGAGGAACACCUGCGGUGUAGACAGCUUUCUGGACCAAAACUGACGCUGAGGCACGAAAGCGUGGGUAGCAAACA